RNAcentral lists this ribosomal RNA (524 nucleotides) under uncultured bacterium. RNAcentral's name for it is "bacterial SSU rRNA". It matches the Rfam family "Bacterial small subunit ribosomal RNA", at positions 777 to 1315 of the family's 1533-position model. The record is from RNAcentral.
AAUAGAUACCCUGGUAGUCCAAGCCGUAAAUUAUGCUUGCUAGGUGUCUCCGAUUUAUCGGGGGUGCCGUAACCUAACGGGUUAAGCAAGCCGCCUGGGUAGUAUACUCGCAAGAGUGAAACUCAAAGGGAUAGGCGGGGGAACACACAAGCAGUGGAUUGUCUUGAUUAAUUGGAUACAAAGCCAGUAAUCUUACCAAGGUUUGACAUAUAAUGUGUCUCCAGUGAAAGCUGGAUAGCCUGAGCAAUCAGGCGCGUUAUACAGGUGGUGCAUGGUCGUCGUCAGCUCGUGCCGCAAGGUGUCUAGUUAAGUCUAGGAACGAGCGCAACCCUCAUCUUUAGUUAGAAUGUCUAAAGAGACUGCCUCGGCAACGAGGAGGAAGGAGUGGACAACGUCAGAUCCUCAUGCCCCUUACAUCUUGGGCGUCACAGACAAUACAAUGGGUAGUACAGCGAGAAGCAAUACCGCGAGGUGGAGCAAAUCUUAAAAGCUAUCCUUAGUUCGGAUUGUAGUCUGGAACUCGA